This 885-nucleotide ribosomal RNA is filed under the name uncultured Candidatus Poseidoniales archaeon. RNAcentral describes it as "SSU rRNA". It matches the Rfam family "Archaeal small subunit ribosomal RNA", at positions 11 to 904 of the family's 1478-position model. Lineage: Archaea; Methanobacteriati; Thermoplasmatota; Candidatus Poseidoniia; Candidatus Poseidoniales. The record is from RNAcentral.
AUCCCGCCGGAGGCGACCGCUGUGGGAGUCCGAUUAAGCCAUGCGAGUCGAGAGAAUAAGAUUCUCGGCAUACCGCUCAGUAACACGUGGAUAACUGCCCUGUGCUGGGGGAUAACCUCGCGAAAGUGAGAACAAUACCCCAUGGGUCACUAUGCCUGGAACGGUUAGUGGCUGAAAGCUCCGGCGGCACAGGAUGGGUCUGCGGCGUAUCAGGUCGUAGGGGGUGUAACGUACCUCCUAGCCUUCGACGCGUACGGGUUGUGAGAGCAAUUGCCCGGAGAUGGAUUCUGAGACACGAAUCCAGGCCCUACGGGGCGCAGCAGGCGCGAAAACUUGACAAUGCGAGAAAUCGUGAUCAGGGGACUCCAGUUGGCUGGAUCAAAAGUCCAGUCUGAACCGACUUUAAAUCGGUCGGGUAAUAGGGGCGGGAAAGACCGGUGCCAGCCGCCGCGGUAAUACCGGCGCCCCAAGUGGUCGUCACUAUUAUUGGGCCUAAAACGUCCGUAGCCGGUUUGGUAAAUCCGUGGGUAAAUCAGACAGCCCAACUGUCUGAAUUCUGCGGGGACUGCCAGACUUGAGACCGGGAGAGGUGCGGGGUACUUGCGGGGUACCGGUAAAAUGGGAUCAUCCCGUAGAGACCACCUGUUGCGAAGGCGCCGCACUAGAACGGAUCUGACGGUCAGGGACGAAGCCUAGGGGCACGAACCGGAUUAGAUACCCGGGUAGUCCUAGGUGUAAACGCUGUGGACUUGGUGUCGGGGACCUUCUGAGGGUUUCCGGUGCCGGAGUGAAGAUGUUAAGUCCACUGCCUGGGAAGUACGUACGCAAGUAUGAAACUUAAAGGAAUUGGCGGGGAGCACCACAAGGGGUGAAGCCUGCGGUUCA